AUGAAAAUAUCAUUUUGCCUGUUCCACAGUGGGAGAAAAACUACAGAGAUAAGAAGAUUGGCAGAGCCAAGCUACACAUUGAGAAAACGUUUCUUUAAAAACAAAUCCGGAAGUCUCAUAGUCUCGUGUUAUGGAAAGUGCUUCCUGUGUUUGCCUCUGCUACUAUCAACACUUGUGAAAGAAAAGGCUCCUGGAUUUGAAAUGGAGUUUAGUGACAAUGCGGGACUUUUCCUCUGGGUCCUCAGCUUUGAGCAGUGUUGGGCAGGAGGUGUUUACUGAGCCUUUACUCACAAACCCAUUCAAAUAAUCACUCUAGGUGGGGCCUGGUGGUUCAUGCCUGUAAUCCCAGCACAUUGGGAGGCCAAGGUGGGCAGAUCACUUGAGGUCAGGAGUUCAAGACCAGCCUGGCCAACAUGGCAAAACCUCAUCUUUACUAAAAAUACAAAAAACAAAAAAAAAAACAAAACAAACUCUUAGCCGGAUGUGGUGGUCUUAGCUACUCAGGGGGCUGAGGCAUGAGAAUUGUUCAAUCCCAGGAGGCGGAGGUUGCAGGGAGGUUGCAGUGAGCUGAGAUUGCACCACUUCACUGUAGCCUGGGCAACAGGAAGAGACUGUGUCUCAAAAAUAAAAACAAGAAAUACUCUAUCCAGAAGCAGAAUAGUCAGACUAGCAAUUAGUUAAAGAGAAUAGUCUCCUUAAAUGUUAAUUCCCCAUGUUUUAAAACCAGUCUGGGAUCCUGGCACUGAAACAUGUGGUGUUCCUUAGACCACUCGGGCCAGCUGCUGCAGGGAGGGAAGAUUCCUCGUCAUUCUGAAUCACAUGGUAUUUCCCAGACCACCUAUGCCAGCCAGCUGCUACAGGGAGGGAGGAUUCCUCAACCUUCUGAAUGACCUGGUGUUCCCCAGACCAUCUGGGCCAGCCAGCUGCUACAGGAGGAAGGAUUCCUUGUCCUUCUGAACCACAUGACGUUCCCUAGACCACCUAUGCCAGCCAGCAGCUGCGGGGAGGAAGGAUUCCUUGUCCUUUUGAAACAAGUCCAUUAUCAGGUUUGUAAUUUGCAAUUUGUUUUCCUAUUCCAUGGGCUGUCUUUUUGCCUUCUUGAUGAUAUCAUUUGCAACACAAGUUUUUAAUUCCUGGGAAGUCCAAGUUAUUUUUUUCUUGUAUUGCUUGUGUUUUUGAAGUCAUAGGUAAGAAGCCAUUGCCUAACUAAAGGUCAUGAAGAUUUAUUCCUACAUUAUAACAGUUUUAUAAUAAGCUUUCAUUUAGGUAUUUGAUCUAUUUUGACUUAUGUUUUGUGUACAGUGUGAGUGAUCCAGCUCCAUUCUUUUGCACAAGGAUACCUAGUUUUUCUAGUACAAUUUGUUGAAUACACUAUUAUUUCCCUGUUAAAUGGUUUUUGAGACCCUUUUCCAAAAUCAAUGUGCCGUAAAUGUAAGGGUUUAUUUCUCUUUCAUAGAUCUACAUGCCUUCCUGUGUGCUGAUACCUCACCAUCUUGAUUAUUAAAGCCUUACAAUACAUUUCGUAUUUGUAAAUUUUGUCCUCUUUUUCUUUCUUUCCCUCCCUCUCUCCUUCCUCCUUUCUUCCCUUCCCUUUCUUCUUCUUUUUUUUUUUUUUUUUUUGAGACAGAGUUUCACUCUUGUUACCCAAGCUGGAGUGCAAUGGCGCCAUCUCGGCUCACCGCAACCUCCGCCUCCUCGGUUCAGGCAAUUCUCCUGCCUCAGCCUCCUGAGUAGCUGGGACUACAGGCACACGCCACCAUGCCCAGCUAAUUUUUUGUAUUUUUAGUAGAGACGGGGUUUCACCAUGUUGACCAGGAUGGUCUCGAUCUCUUGACCUUAUGAUCCGCCCGUGUCAGCCUCCCAAAGUGCUGGGAUUACAGGCUUGAGCCACUGUGCCCGGCCUCCCUUUCUUCUUUUGUAAAGGCACAGCUGGCCUCAAACUCCUGGUCUCCAGCAGUACCCCAGGCUCAGCCUUCCAAAUAUCUGGGACUAUAAAUGUGAACCAUACCUGGCUCC
Molecule: long non-coding RNA, 2016 nt
Filed under: Callithrix jacchus (white-tufted-ear marmoset)
Lineage: Eukaryota; Metazoa; Chordata; Mammalia; Primates; Cebidae
Description: lncRNA (ENSCJAG00000081175.1)
Source: RNAcentral